UUCUGUUCUGCCAUUCGGUAGAGAUCUAUACAGUAGUUAAAACCUAAGCUGUAGGAAGCAGGAGGGAAGAAGUAAAUCCCUGACACAUUCACUACUUCUAUUUUACAAAAACUUUGUGCGCCUCAGAUGGUUGGUUAUCUGUUCAAAUAUCCUUCAGAUCCAGUACUCAGACAUGCUGCAAUCCUUAAUCAGAUAGAUGCUUCUACCUCCAGUACUCCUACUGCAAUGCUUCCUCCACAACAGAAAAAUUAUAAUGCUGUGAUCAAUUUUCCUAUCAUACAUGCUCGAACGCCUGAUCGUACACCUGCCUUUAACUUGGG
Lolium rigidum is the source of this 320-nucleotide long non-coding RNA. RefSeq lists it as uncharacterized. The transcript is spliced from 4 exons. NCBI's taxonomy places the organism in Eukaryota, Viridiplantae, Streptophyta, Magnoliopsida, Poales, Poaceae. The record is from RefSeq and is a predicted model, not a curated record.